This 1123-nucleotide long non-coding RNA is filed under the name Chrysemys picta bellii (western painted turtle). RNAcentral's name for it is "lncRNA (ENSCPBG00000007753.1)". Lineage: Eukaryota; Metazoa; Chordata; Testudines; Emydidae. The record is from RNAcentral.
AAGCUGGAGAAAUCUGCCUUUCUAAAUGGUUUUAUAUAUUUUUUAAAAAAGGAGAGAGAGAGAGAGAGAGAAAAUGCCAUCUGGGAAUGCCACGUGUACAGCAGCAGAUCAUCUUACCUGCUGGCGCAUCCCUCCUGGCUGGAGAAAUCCAGUAGAAGAGCCCAAGAGGACACCUGUGGCAGCUACAGAGGCUGGAGUUAUGGGGCAGCUGCUGCUAAGAGCACGGCCUCUGCAGUGGCCCAGCCUUGCAUGGGAAAUACCCUUUGUGCCUUGAAAUGGGGAAGACUAGAAACGUUGUUUGACAGAGAAGCCACAUAACAGAAGUUGUAUGAAGUUUGAAUAUUCGAUAACGAAGUCAGCAUGGAUGCAGUCACUGAGUUCCCAAAGGGGAGGGACAGACCAUCUAUAUAAGGUAAAUCUGUCACUAUCCGAGAUCAGAAGUCACCCUGCGCUACAGAGACUUUCCCAGGCCCAGAAAAGGUGAGUAGAGACCGAUCACUGAUAUUUUAAUCGUUAUUGUGUCCAGUAGUUAAAACGUGCAAGAGGCUGCGUUGGAGAUUGGGAAACAUGUGACUCAUUAUUGGCGCUGAAUCAGAUCCAUCCCUGAUGCGGCCCGGCUGGAGCUCCAUGGGGAUUACACCAGGAAUUCAUCUGAUCUGAUGUAUCCAGCGUGUGGAAAUGGACAAAAGUGCGGGAUUAACAGUUUAGCAUGGCUCCCAUUCCAGUGAAUGCACUUGCUGGGUGUGUACCCGGAGACUCCAUCUGGGGCCCUUGGGAUCCGCAGUGAGCAUUACUACCAGGUUGUCGGGGGCACGUGACUACGCCACACGUCUCCUCUGGGCUGAGGAGCAGGAGCACCAGGGCAGUGGUGAGUGAGCAGCUGGGGGAGCCUCUCCUGGCAGCUGGGCUCCGUGGGCAGAAGCCGGCUCCAGGGGGCAGCGCUGGCUGGUGCCGGGCUCCUUCGGGGGAGAGGCAAGGGCGUGUCACGGUGCAGCUCGGAACUGGGCCACCCGCCCUGCUUGGGGAACGCUCAGCUGUGCAGAGGCAGGCCGGCUUGGGGAGCAGGGCAGGGAGGGCUGCCAGGCAGACAGACAGCACCCCAGCUCCCACAGCAUGGAGAGCC